Molecule: non-coding RNA, 661 nt
Organism: Pelobates cultripes (western spadefoot toad)
Lineage: Eukaryota; Metazoa; Chordata; Amphibia; Anura; Pelobatidae
Source: the annotation of a GenBank genome assembly
GCACUAUAGAACCUCUUUAAAAUAUAUCUGCAUGCAUUUUUUCAUUGGGGGUAUAUUCACUAAACAGUGAUAUAUUUUAUAAUUUAUUUUUAAUCCCAAAAAUGUACCUUUGAAUGGUCAUUAGAUCAAGGAAAACCAUAGUGUCUAAGUGUCUGUUUUCAAACACUGUGCGACCCAAGAUGUGUGUAUUUGGCCAAAGGAUCUUGUCAUAUACUAGAAGUAGGUAUGGGUUUUUCUCAUUUUGGUUAUCCGUCUAGCAGGCAGGUGUUGUGGAGUGGUGCUCUAUGGACACAAGAUGUUGAACAGUAUCCAGCGACUGAUUUUUUGGACACACACACCCCACCCCCCCAUUCGGCCCAUCUAGUCUGCUCAAUUUUCUAGAUACUUUCAUUAGUUCCUGGCCUUAUCUUAAGUCUAGGAUAGCCUUAUGUCUAUCUCACGCACAGGGCCAUUUGAAGGAAUUUGGGGGCCCCAAGCAAAAUGAACAUGGAGGCUCCCCCACUUCCAACCCCCCCACCCCCCACAUGCACGCAAAGCCUACAGGAACCACAGCAUAGCCAUACAGUUUAAGUUCACCCACACUUUAUAUAAAUAAAAAAGGUUUACAGUGCAAAUACUGCUUAGCGCUCUGCCCUGCCCCUUAGUGGUCUUUCCUCUCCCC